This 932-nucleotide ribosomal RNA is filed under the name Klebsiella quasipneumoniae subsp. similipneumoniae. RNAcentral's name for it is "partial 23S ribosomal RNA". It matches the Rfam family "Bacterial large subunit ribosomal RNA", at positions 590 to 1527 of the family's 2925-position model. The record is from RNAcentral. Lineage: Bacteria; Pseudomonadati; Pseudomonadota; Gammaproteobacteria; Enterobacterales; Enterobacteriaceae.
GGUGUGACUGCGUACCUUUUGUAUAAUGGGUCAGCGACUUAUAUUCUGUAGCAAGGUUAACCGUAUAGGGGAGCCGCAGGGAAACCGAGUCUUAACUGGGCGUUAAGUUGCAGGGUAUAGACCCGAAACCCGGUGAUCUAGCCAUGGGCAGGUUGAAGGUUGGGUAACACUAACUGGAGGACCGAACCGACUAAUGUUGAAAAAUUAGCGGAUGACUUGUGGCUGGGGGUGAAAGGCCAAUCAAACCGGGAGAUAGCUGGUUCUCCCCGAAAGCUAUUUAGGUAGCGCCUCGUGAAUUCAUCUUCGGGGGUAGAGCACUGUUUCGGCUAGGGGGUCAUCCCGACUUACCAACCCGAUGCAAACUACGAAUACCGAAGAAUGUUAUCACGGGAGACACACGGCGGGUGCUAACGUCCGUCGUGAAGAGGGAAACAACCCAGACCGCCAGCUAAGGUCCCAAAGUCAUGGUUAAGUGGGAAACGAUGUGGGAAGGCACAGACAGCCAGGAUGUUGGCUUAGAAGCAGCCAUCAUUUAAAGAAAGCGUAAUAGCUCACUGGUCGAGUCGGCCUGCGCGGAAGAUGUAACGGGGCUAAACCAUGCACCGAAGCUGCGGCAGCGACACUAUGUGUUGUUGGGUAGGGGAGCGUUCUGUAAGCCUGCGAAGGUGACCUGUGAGGGUUGCUGGAGGUAUCAGAAGUGCGAAUGCUGACAUAAGUAACGAUAAAGCGGGUGAAAAGCCCGCUCGCCGGAAGACCAAGGGUUCCUGUCCAACGUUAAUCGGGGCAGGGUGAGUCGACCCCUAAGGCGAGGCCGAAAGGCGUAGUCGAUGGGAAACAGGUUAAUAUUCCUGUACUUGGUGUUACUGCGAAGGGGGGACGGAGAAGGCUAUGUUAGCCGGGCGACGGUUGUCCCGGUUUAAGCAUGUAGGCUG